Long non-coding RNA from Sebastes umbrosus (honeycomb rockfish), 208 nucleotides. RefSeq lists it as uncharacterized. Lineage: Eukaryota; Metazoa; Chordata; Actinopteri; Perciformes; Sebastidae. The transcript is spliced from 3 exons. The record is from RefSeq and is a predicted model, not a curated record.
GCCUAUAGUAACAGCAUGUAAUAUUUAUAGUGAGUGGCACAGCGUUCCUUUUGUUUCGGCAGUGAGAAUGUAGUGUUCAUGCGUCUGUCCUCAUGUUUACGUGUCUUCAUGCAGGGCUCUGCUUCACAUUAUAUAUAUAUAUGUGUGUGUGUGUGUGUGUGUGUGUAUGUGUGUGAGUGUGUGCAUGUGCGUGUAUGUGUGUGUGUGU